Non-coding RNA from Coturnix japonica (Japanese quail), 5222 nucleotides. The record is from RefSeq and is a predicted model, not a curated record. NCBI's taxonomy places the organism in Eukaryota, Metazoa, Chordata, Aves, Galliformes, Phasianidae.
AGCCAGACCACAGGUAGCCCUACAUAGAAGUUGUACAGCCAGUAGGUCUGUAGAAUGGAUGGUUUUGCAGCACUGUAUUUAAAAGUCAUUCAAUCCUACUUCUCACAAUAUGGCUAUUGGAGGAACAAGUAUGCCCAUGAUGUGUCCUCUGCUAUUCACUAGCAAAUGUUUUAUCACUAGGGGUUACUGGCCUCUCAUUCUGCAAAGAGCAUAAGAGCGGAGUUAAGGCAAGAGGAACAUCACUGGGUCUCUGAUGAAAUCAGCCAUUGAAAAGGUGGAGUGAGCAGGAAGUUCCUUGAUCACAGCACACGUGGAUUUGAAACUUGUGAAGAAGAGGAUGGUGAUCUCAGGUGAAGUGUUUAUUCAAAGUUGAUGGCUUCCACACCAGGAAUCACCAUAAAAAUCAGGAGUCUCCAGCCUGGAAAUGGAUCUGUCCAAGAAGAACCAGCAGCAUCAAGCAGUGUGGGAAGGAAGGUGGGGAGUGACUGCUGGUUGUCUCAUGAAAGCCUUUUUUCCUAUGCAAUGGCACCAGGUCAGAGUUAAUCAAAGGAAAUGAUUCCUUGCAGAGAUGGGGAAAAACAAUCAAUCACACUAGUUUGAAAGCAACUAAGUAAAUUUACAAACAUCUACUCAGGCUUUUAAGUGCCAGAAUAACCCUUCUGGAUCAAGAAACUUUCAAAGGCUAGAAGAAUAUUCUGGGAAAAUAUGCCUAAUCUAUUCUCUACUCUUGUUCCUUGUGGCUGCUAUGACCAGAGACCAGAGACUUGCUACUGGCCCAAACUGACCCACAGCCUGACUCAGAAUGGCUACUCCGAUGUUCCUGUCACAGGUUUUCCUGACCAUUUCUUCUUGCACAGGUUGUACCAGGCUGCUCUUGGUACCUCACUUCUCCCUUCUUUUAUUGAGACAGCUCAUCUCAAUCAAACUACGUGCUCUUGUGCUUCCAAUGAUUAUCUCUUUCAGUAGUCGUUGUUUUCCAGUCUGGCUGGUGUUACACUUGCUGUGGUUCACAAAACUGCACCGGGACAAAGCCUUGGCUGGGGCAAAAACUGCCACAUACAGACUAUUUUCCAAGUUUCUCCAUACAGCUGAGAUGUGAUGUGAUGAGUUUCCCAAACACUCCACCAGUUUAAGUUAAUGGUUCUUGCAGAAACAUUUGUUGUACCACGCAAAAAGCCCAACCCCAAAGCAAACAUGUUCUGUUUGACUACCCAUUACAUAAGAAUGGGGUACAGUGCAAUGCUUUCUAUCCUCUUCCAGGUUUGCUCAGUUUGGGUCAGCAUACUUAGCAGACAGAAAUACACUGGCAGCUCCCCAGCUAUCUGUCUUGCAGAUUGAGAGUGCACAUAACAUUGGUUGUGGAACAAACCUUUGGAGACUGCAUCAUUUCUAGCACUACACAAAAUAGAAGUUCUUGUGGGAGAGAAGAAAGGAUGAUAAUGACAGCUCCCUUGCGCCUACACUUGGAAACUCUUCCACCCUUCCUCCUUGUGCUGCAGGUGAGUGACCCACACAAUGCUUCCUCUUCCUAUGCAAAGCCAGAGACAGGCAGAGGAUCAACCUGCCCAAGCAGAGCUCUGAUGAAUUUGCACAUCCUGAAGUGUCACUUUCUACAUUAGCACAAGCUUCAAGCCAGCAAACAACUUCACUAACAGCUCUGAAAGUGCAUCCUUUCCUUUUACCUGCGCAUAAAAAAUGCUCUUUCUGAAGCAACUAAAAUUGCCUGCUUAUUCUGCUAGGCAAGCAAUAUGACUGCAACUGUGAUUUCUCCUCCUGAAGAUGGGACAUUAGACCUUGCCCAUCUCUGGGCAGAAGGUGGACAUGAGAGUGAAUAGUAAAGCAGUCCUGUAUUUCUCAAGCUUUAUUCUUUAUUCUUCAGAGGUUUACUCUUUUGUCAGGUUCACUUUAUUAUUUCUUUCAUUUUCACUCAUCUCCAAAUGUCUCCAUCAAAUCUCUGCCAUUCAGGAAGACAAGAAUAGGCCCUUUCAAGCUGUGACACUGCUUAUCAGACAGCCCUGCUGCCUGAUGAAUGGAGGUCCAAGUUUCACACUGGCCAUGGAGUUCUCAUCAGAUGCUGACUGCGAUUUGCGAAAUUACACAUUAGCUGAUAUCUGAGACAUACAAUCACACUAUUAAUUAUACCUACCUAGAGGAUGCAGUUAAAAGAUUCAAGCCAAAAUGCCAAAUAUAGACCAUUGUCCUUGUUAGCAUGAGCAGUAACUCUGCCCUGCACCAGCCUUUGCAAUGUGCUUUAGCUGGGACUAGACUCCAAGUCCACUCACAGACACCAGCAGCCUAGCAACUCAUCUGUAAGGACAUAGCCCCUCUGUAUAGAACUCAGUGCUUGUGUCACACAGAUGGCAAACAGCAACUAUACUCUGCAGCAAGGUUACUUGUGAUCUGGACUGCAGCUGCCUCCCUGCUUGCCCUUUCCCCAAUGCCAGCAGCAGAACCAGUCCAUAAGCUGUGCAUAUCAGAGUGGGAGUUGUCUGUGGGUAGCCCUCAGCUCUCCCAGUUGGCUGGGCAGAGCUCCAAUAUGGGAUGACUGCCAAGCUUUUUGCUUGAGGACAGGCCUGGAGGGUUUUAGGUUAUGUGUGAGAUUUUUUUGGUCUGACUUUACCAGAGCAGGCCAUAUGACUCUAGGUUCCCUUUCUUAGUUUUGCAUAAGCAAUUCUGUAGGCUGCAAAUAUGUGCCUCCAGGCACUUUGGGAACAGCAUAACACCUCAGAUGAACAUUUUAUCUUGGAUAGCAGGGAGUCACUGCAAGAUGGAGAUGGUCCUUGCUAUGUAGCUAGAUAAGAAAGUUUUCAAGAGAGUCUCAUGUCAGUUCUAGAUUGUACCUGGCUAUGUUCCCAACUGAGUUUUCUGAAGCCUCUAAGGUAAGAUUUUUCUAUUUAACAUGUUUGAAAAAUUCAGAAUUUCCAUGUGAAUGAAGAACUUAAUUCUUUACGAGUUGUCCAAAGAAAGAGCAAAGUGCAUGUUUAGUUCCAGGGUUCAAGGGACAGGCGGUGUGUGAGAAAGGCCACAUCAUGACAUCCAAUGCACACGGGAUCUGGCACUACAAAACAGAAUGCACAGUCCCAUUUUUUUCUAUCAACACUGGAAAUUGAAAUACAACCUUUUUAUCCUGCAGGUCUUUCACAGAAAGCAUAUGAUUGGAAAAGAGGACUUGGCACAUUCAUCCAUCUAAAGAGCUUGUGCAUGGACAAGCAAACACUCAUCUCUUUCCCACCUCCAUUUAUUUUUGCUUUUAAUCUAAGAUUCAACUCUUCCCCCACAGCAAAGGAGCUCUUGGUAACAUCCUGUCUGGGAGCCCAGUAGCUCAAAACAUUAGCUUGCAUCAUUAUGCAAAUACAUGCCUGCUGUUCCCACACUCUGGGCAGGUAGCAAUCUCAGCUUCCCAGCCCAUCCCACAGCUGUUUCCAGCCACUGCCAUCAGUUAAAACUGGACUGCCACAAUCACAUUUGUCCCGACUUCAGUUCUAGCUUCUUUUUCUGUAGUUUCUGUGGCUAAGUAUUCUUGAGGAUCUCAUGCUCUCUGUUCCUGAGUCUCUCUACUCCAUCUUCCAAAUGCAAUAUAUGUAAUAUUGCAUUUAUAUUUGCAAUAUUAAUUGUUGAAAAUAUACAACAUCAGCUGCAAACAUUUAAAACAGCUGAUGAAUGCGAUGUUGUUGUCAUAAUGCUUUUAUCUCAAUGUCUACAUGGAAACCUAAUACAGUAACAUUCUGUUUACCUUUUCUGGAUAACUAUAGGCCAGCUCAGCAGUUUCAAAAGACUGAAAAAAAAUAAACAGAAAAUGAUGUUUUUUGAGGUUUUUUUCUUCGUUAUUUUUUUUUUCACUUAUUAUUUCACUUCUGAGCAAAGUCUAAGAAAACUUUAGAACUCCUGACAAAAAGCAAGCAGUCCUUUUGUCUUUGGUCAAGAAGCACCAGAGGCACACUGAAAUCCCUUGUCCACUCAGGUCAAAUAAACUACUCUGGCCCCAGUUCUUUAUGAAACAAGAUCCCAGCCUGAACACACUGAAGGCUGGGCUACACAGAGUUUUAGGCUGCCACCCCUAAUUGGUGGCUUGAUUGUCCUGGGCUGUUUUGCACACUGAGUGCCCAAAGAGUAGCAUGGUCCCAUACACCUGCAGGGGACAUAUCUAAUGGAGUUGAGAUGCCCCUUUUCUCUCUACCUUUCCUCCAAAGACCCCCUCACCUCCUCAGAUGGCAGAAUGGAGCAGGCAGCAAUCCCACUCCAGCUCCUUUUCCAGUGAGGGAUCCAGAAAACUCUCCUGCCUAUCACCAAACCUCUGCAUUGCUCCAUGCAGAGCAACCCUCAUGGAAAAAUGUGUACAGCCCAGUGGAUUUUCCAGUUUCAUUUUGCUCAUCUGUGAUGGCAAGAAUACUUAAAUGCCUAAACAGAGAAUACUUACGGUUGCCUGCCUGUUAACACAAUUUUUUAUGCCUGUCUCCAAAGAUGUAAACAUGGGAAUCAAACAUCUGCUGUGCUUUCGGCAGGAGAAGGGAUUACAAGGUGGUACAACAUUUUUUUUUUUACUGUCUUGUUUUUUUUCCCUUAAUUGCUAAGAGGUUUAGCACAGUAAUACAAUAUAAAAGAACUUACGUUUAAAUAGGCUUACCAUUAUUUUCACUAUAUAUUAAUAAUUUGUAUGACACAUCUUACUCUUUCAGAGUUGCCAGGGUAAAAAAUCCUGUCUAGCCCAGCAAGCUUCACCCUGCAUGGCUUCACACCAGGGAACAAGAAAGGAAUUCUCUUUGAGCCUCCAAAGGCUUCACCUAAAGCCACUUAAUGACCUUCCCUAGCCUGCCACUGGUCCCACCCAUCAGGGUUUAAGACAGAUGUUUUCUGCACUGCAGCUGUGAGGUGAGUUCAUGUGCUCAAGUCUGCAAAGGAGUGAGGCCACUGUGUCUGAAGUACAUCUGUUCCCAGUCAACUGUGUUCAGCUGUGGCUGAGGGCACGCAGAGCACUGUGGAGAAGGUGCCCAUUAGGGCUAAUGGUCUAAUAAAAAACAAAGGCGUGUAAGUGGAUUUGUUCAUUUCAGGCAGAAUUCUCCUUAGUAGUCACAUUUGUUUUUAAAGUGCCUUAAUUUUAAGACAGAUUUCUUGUGCGCUCUAAUUUAGACUGUAUUUAAGGGAAAUUAAGUAAACAAACUAGUUGCUUCUGUCUCCUCAGCAAUGUUUUAUAAUACUGUCAAAGCUAUCAAGCUUUCUUACAA